GGGGGUUUAGCUCAGCAGUAGAGCGCUUGCCUAGCAAGUGCAAGACCCUGGGUUUGAUCCCCAGCUCCG
RNAcentral lists this transfer RNA (69 nucleotides) under Rattus norvegicus (Norway rat). It matches the Rfam family "tRNA". From Rfam's summary of the family: Transfer RNA (tRNA) molecules are approximately 80 nucleotides in length. Their secondary structure includes four short double-helical elements and three loops (D, anti-codon, and T loops). Lineage: Eukaryota; Metazoa; Chordata; Mammalia; Rodentia; Muridae. The record is from Rfam by way of RNAcentral.